AGGAAUAUUGGUCAAUGGCCGGAAGGCUGAACCAGCCAAGUCGCGUGAGGGAAUAAGGCCCUACGGGUCGUAAACCUCUUUUGUCAGGGAGCAAGGCCGCCCACGUGUGGACGGACGGAGAGUACCUGGAGAAAAAGCAUCGGCUAACUCCGUGCCAGCAGCCGCGGUAAUACGGAGGAUGCGAGCGUUAUCCGGAUUUAUUGGGUUUAAAGGGUGCGUAGGCGGCCUGCCAAGUCAGCGGUAAAAUUGCGGGGCUCAACCGGUACAGGCUCUGGAAACUGGCGGGCUAGAGAGCAGGAGAGGGCGGUGGAACUCCAUGUGUAGCGGUAAAAUGCGUAGAUAUAUGGAAGAACACCAGUGGCGAAGGCGGCCGCCUGGCCUGUUGACUGACGCUGAGGCACGAAAGCGUGGGGAGCAAAUA
Molecule: ribosomal RNA, 421 nt
Filed under: uncultured bacterium
Lineage: Bacteria
Description: bacterial SSU rRNA
Rfam family: Bacterial small subunit ribosomal RNA
Source: RNAcentral